AUUUUAACACCAACAGUUUAAAUAUCCCACCUGAGUCGGACAUAUUUGGAGAAUGUUUCCAGUUUGCCUGUUUUAGCCUAAAAAUUGCAAUUCUCUUGUUACCUCUGUCUUCAUGGACUCCGAUUUAAAAAGCUGAUUAAGAAAUGAUCUAGAAGCUCACUUGAAACAUAUCUGCAUUUUUCCUUACGGCUACAACACAUGUUCAGGUCAUG
Pelobates cultripes (western spadefoot toad) is the source of this 212-nucleotide non-coding RNA. NCBI's taxonomy places the organism in Eukaryota, Metazoa, Chordata, Amphibia, Anura, Pelobatidae. The record is from the annotation of a GenBank genome assembly.